GUGAGGAAUAUUGGUCAAUGGAGGCAACUCUGAACCAGCCAUGCCGCGUGCAGGAAGACGGUCCUAUGGAUUGUAAACUGCUUUUAUUUAGGAAUAAACCCCCGGUCGUGCACCGGGGCUGAAUGUACUAAAAGAAUAAGCACCGGCUAACUCCGUGCCAGCAGCCGCGGUAAUACGGAGGGUGCAAGCGUUAUCCGGAAUCAUUGGGUUUAAAGGGUCCGCAGGCGGGUAAAUAAGUCAGAGGUGAAAUCCGGCAGCUCAACUGUCGCACUGCCUUUGAUACUGUUUAUCUUGAAUUUUAGUGGAGUGGGCGGAAUAUGUCAUGUAGCGGUGAAAUGCUUAGAUAUGACGUGGAACACCGAUAGCGAAGGCAGCUCACUAACUAUGAAUUGACGCUCAUGGACGAAAGCGUGGGUAGCAAACAGGAUUAGAUACCCCGGUAGUCC
This 446-nucleotide ribosomal RNA is filed under the name uncultured bacterium. RNAcentral's name for it is "partial 16S ribosomal RNA". It matches the Rfam family "Bacterial small subunit ribosomal RNA", at positions 354 to 796 of the family's 1533-position model. The record is from RNAcentral.